GGCUUAAUUCCGGAUAACGCGAUAUUAUGCCGGAAUGCUUUAUGCGUAAAAUGGAUUCGUCUGCCCAAGGAUGGGUCUGCGGCCUAUCAGGUAGUAGUGGGUGUAAUGUACCUACUAGCCAACAACGGGUACGGGUUGUGAGAGCAAGAGCCCGGAGAUGGAUUCUGAGACAUGAAUCCAGGCCCUACGGGGCGCAGCAGGCGCGAAAACUUUACAAUGCGGGAAACCGUGAUAAGGGGACACCGAGUGCUAGCAUCAUAUGCUGGCUGUCCAGGUGUGUAAACUACACCUGUUAGCAAGGGCCGGGCAAGACCGGUGCCAGCCGCCGCGGUAACACCGGCGGCCCGAGUGGUGAUCGUGAUUAUUGGGUCUAAAGGGUCCGUAGCCGGUUUGGUCAGUCCUCCGGGAAAUCUGAUAGCUCAACUAUUAGGCUUUCGGGGGAUACUGCCAGGCUUGGAACCGGGAGAGGUAAGAGGUACUACAGGGGUAGGAGUGAAAUCUUGUAAUCCCUGUGGGACCACCUGUGGCGAAGGCGUCUUACCAGAACGGGUUCGACGGUGAGGGACGAAAGCUGGGGGCACGAACCGGAUUAGAUACCCGGGUAGUCCCAGCCGUAAACGAUGCACGUUAGGUGUCAGGCAUGGCCAGACCGUGUCUGGUGCCGAAGGGAAGCCGUGAAACGUGCCGCCUGGGAAGUACGGUCGCAAGGCUGAAACUUAAAGGAAUUGGCGGGGGAGCACAA
RNAcentral lists this ribosomal RNA (742 nucleotides) under uncultured Methanosarcinaceae archaeon. RNAcentral's name for it is "SSU rRNA". It matches the Rfam family "Archaeal small subunit ribosomal RNA", at positions 143 to 881 of the family's 1478-position model. Lineage: Archaea; Methanobacteriati; Methanobacteriota; Methanomicrobia; Methanosarcinales; Methanosarcinaceae. The record is from RNAcentral.